GCAAGUGCCUAAAGACGAGCUCGCGCCUGAUUAGCUAGUUGGUGGGGUAAAGGCCUACCAAGGCGACGAUCAGUAGCUGGUUUGAGAGAAUGAUCAGCCACACUGGAACUGAGACACGGUCCAGACUCCUGCGGGAGGCAGCAGUGGGGAAUUUUCCGCAAUGGGCGAAAGCCUGACGGAGCAAUACCGCGUGAGGGAUUAAGGCCUGUGGGUUGUAAACCUCUUUUCUCAAGGAAGAAUCAAUGACGGUACUUGAGGAAUAAGCAUCGGCUAACUCCGUGCCAGCAGCCGCGGUAAUACGGGGGAUGCAAGCGCUAUCCGGAAUUAUUGGGCGUAAAGCGUCUGUAGGUUGUUUAAUAAGUCUGUUGUUAAAGACUGGGGCUUAACCCCAGGAAAGCAAUGGAAACUGUUAGGCUAGAGUGUGGUAGAGGUAGAGGGAAUUCCUAGUGUAGCGGUGAAAUGCGUAGAUAUUAGGAAGAACACCGGUGGCGAAAGCGCUCUGCUGGGCCAUAACUGACACUCAGAGACGAAAGCUAGGGUAGCAAAUGGGAUUAGAUACCCCAGUAGUCCUAGCCGUAAACGAUGGAUACUAGAUGUUGCGUAACUUGAUUAUGCAGUGUUUUAGCUAACGCGUUAAGUAUCCCGCCUGGGGAGUACACUCGCAAGGGUGAAACUCAAAGGAAUUGACGGGGGCCCGCACAAGCGGUGGAGCAUGUGGUUUAAUUUGAUGCAACGCGAAGAACCUUACCAAGGCUUGACAUGUCACGAAUCUCACUGAGAAGAGAGAGUGCCUUCGGGAACGUGAACACGGGUGGUGCAUGGCUGUCGUCAGCUCGUGUCGUGAGAUGUUGGGUUAAGUCCCGCAACGAGCGCAACCCUUGUCUUUAGUUACCAUCAUUCAGUUGGGGACUCUAGAGAGACUGCCGGUGACAAACCGGAAGAAGGUGAGGACGACGUCAAGUCAGCAUGUCCCUUAUGCCUUGGGCUACACACGUGCUACAAUGGCUAAGACAAAGAGCAGCAAGCUUGUGAAAGUUAGCAAAUCUCAUAAACUU
This 1055-nucleotide ribosomal RNA is filed under the name uncultured marine rappemonad. Its description in RNAcentral is "bacterial SSU rRNA". It matches the Rfam family "Bacterial small subunit ribosomal RNA", at positions 211 to 1283 of the family's 1533-position model. The record is from RNAcentral.